RNAcentral lists this ribosomal RNA (425 nucleotides) under uncultured bacterium. RNAcentral describes it as "bacterial SSU rRNA". It matches the Rfam family "Bacterial small subunit ribosomal RNA", at positions 354 to 796 of the family's 1533-position model. The record is from RNAcentral.
GCGACGAAUCUUCCGCAAUGGGCGCAAGCCUGACGGAGCGACGCCGCGUGUGGGAUGAAGCGCCUUCGGCGUGUAAACCACUGUCAGGGGACGGAACCAAUGAUUGUCUCCAAAGGAAGGGGCGACUAACUCUGUGCCAGCAGUCGCGGUAAGACAGAGGCCCCGAGCGUUAAUCGGAAUCACUGGGCUUAAAGGGUGCGUAGGCUGAUCCGCAAGUGCUUCGUGAAAUCCCCCGGCUCAACCGGGGAACAGCGGGGCAUACUGCGGAUCUUGAGGCAGGUAGGCGCCGAGGGAACAGUAGGUGGAGCGGUGAAAUGCGUAGAUAUCUACUGGAACGCCGAUGGUGAAGACGCUCGGCUGGGCCUGUCCUGACGCUGAGGCACGAAAGCGUGGGGAGCAAACAGGAUUAGAAACCCGGGUAGUCC